This 253-nucleotide ribosomal RNA is filed under the name uncultured bacterium. RNAcentral's name for it is "partial 16S ribosomal RNA". It matches the Rfam family "Bacterial small subunit ribosomal RNA", at positions 524 to 776 of the family's 1533-position model. The record is from RNAcentral.
UACGUAGGGUGCGAGCGUUAAUCGGAAUUACUGGGCGUAAAGCGUGCGUAGGCGGUUCGUUAAGUGCGUCGUGAAAGCCCCGGGCUCAACCUGGGAAUGGCGAUGGAAACUGGCGGGCUGGAGUAUGGCAGAGGGGGGUGGAAUUCCACGUGUAGCAGUGAAAUGCGUAGAGAUGCGGAGGAACACCGAUGGCGAAGGCAGCCCCCUGGGCUAACACUGACGCUCAUGCACGAAAGCGUGGGGAGCAAACAGG